This 399-nucleotide ribosomal RNA is filed under the name uncultured bacterium. RNAcentral's name for it is "bacterial SSU rRNA". It matches the Rfam family "Bacterial small subunit ribosomal RNA", at positions 355 to 769 of the family's 1533-position model. The record is from RNAcentral.
UGGGGAAUAUUGGGCAAUGGGGGCAACCCUGACCCAGCGACGCCGCGUGGGGGAAGACGGCCUUCGGGUUGUAAACCUCUUUUGUACGGGAAGAAGGAAGUGACGGUACUGUACGAAUAAGUCCCGGCUAACUACGUGCCAGCAGCCGCGGUAAUACGUAGGGGACGAGCGUUGUCCGGAAUUACUGGGCGUAAAGGGCGCGCAGGCUGUGCUGCAAGUCAGCUGUUAAAUGUCUGGGGUUAACCCGGGCAUGCGGUUGAGACUGCGGUGCUGGAGUGCUGUAGAGGCAAGUGGAAUUCCCAGUGUAGCGGUGAAAUGCGUAGAUAUUGGGAAGAACACCGGUGGCGAAGGCGACUUGCUGGGCAGCAACUGACGCUGAGGCGCGAAAGCCAGGGGAGC